Molecule: ribosomal RNA, 186 nt
Filed under: uncultured bacterium
Lineage: Bacteria
Description: partial 16S ribosomal RNA
Rfam family: Bacterial small subunit ribosomal RNA
Source: RNAcentral
CCUGCAUGAAGUUGGAAUUGCUAGUAAUCGCGAAUCAGAAUGUCGCGGUGAAUACGUUCCCGGGCCUUGUACACACCGCCCGUCACACCAUGAGAGUCGAUAACACCCGAAGCCUGUGAGCUAACCUUUAGGAGGCAGCAGUCGAAGGUGGGGUUGAUGAUUGGGGUGAAGUCGUAACAAGGUAAC